This 2548-nucleotide long non-coding RNA is filed under the name Olea europaea subsp. europaea. The record is from RNAcentral. Lineage: Eukaryota; Viridiplantae; Streptophyta; Magnoliopsida; Lamiales; Oleaceae.
CAAAAUAUUAACCUAGAAGUGUUACAACGGUAACAUGCGAAGUUUGAGGCGCAUUAACCAGAAGGGAGCACAAUCAAGGCCGUUGUUGACCACUAAUCCUACGGCUGAAUUUCACAUGGGAAGGACCGUUGCAUACUGAAGUACCGUCAGCUCCUGCUUCAAAAGGGGUGCCUUUUUCAGUCAUCAGAAUUCCAGUAUUUUUCACAGAGAGAGGGAGAGAGGGAAUUGAAGAAUAUCCUUCCGGAGAGGCAAAGAAGAAAGGAUUUAAACAAGAUUUCCAAGGUUUUGUAAUGGCUUCAAGACUGAUGAAUCAACAGGAAAACAGAGGUAUUUUAAACAUAAUUGGAGGAUACGCAUAUAAUUAUCCAAAACCUCUCACACAUUAAUUUUUUCUUGCCUAAUAUAUGAUCUGAUUCUUUGUAUUUCUGGGCUUCUGAUAUUUUGGGAUUUUAGUUGUUUAUCUUGAUUUGUAAUUUCUUGAUCUUUGAUUGUAUUGUUAUAUAUUUAUGGUAUAAAAAUAAAAUGUGGAAGAAAUAAUCAAAUUAGAUAAAGUGUCAAAGUGGUGGGAAAUGUGUCAUUUGUGUGGGACGUCGGGGGUUCGAAUCACUCCCCACAUAGAUAUUAAAAUAUUUUGAUUGGGACCUUGGGCUCUUGGAUUUUCUAGACUAAAAUAAAUAUUUUUUUAUUAUUAUUUAAUGGGCAAAACUAACCAGUAUUUUCUGACUGUUUAUUUUUAUAACAAUCUACUAACAGUCAUUAAAAUAUCCACUACUCAGUCAUUAAAAUUUUGAAUUAAUCUUUGAUCAUGGUGGAGACUGUUACUUCUAUCCUGCCUAUAUAAACCCAUAUCUCAUUUUGGGAAAAAUACACAAAAAAAGAAAAUAGAAAAAUCCUCUUGUAUCAAUCCUUCAUUUUCAUCUUCUGAUUUUCUUAUACUCGAAUUUUUACAUAUAUUCUGGAGUAAACUGAGAGUUCUGGAAAAAUCAUUCGUGAUUGCUGCACAAGUGGUUUACGAUCGUUGUAUCCUGAGAGUGAUUGUCCACGGAGGUCACAGCAAUUAUCGACGGGCAAUUUCACUUUAAGACAUCUUGCUAUCACGAGACUCGAUCAAACGAUAAGUCUUAUAUUUCUGCAUUUUAUUGUUCUGAACAUUAUUGCAACUAGUUAUUAUUCCAACAAUCUAAAGUGAAAUUAUCUUUAUAAUUAGUUAUCAUGUUUGUCAUAGAUAUAUUUGUUCCUAAGUAUUUUGAAAAGUCUGAGUUAUUUGAUGGAAAGAAUUUUAAGAGAUGGCAAAUGAAACUGCGAUUUUAUUUGACAACACUUAAAGUCGUUGAUGCUAUUGAAUCAGAUAAACCCGUUGUUGCAAUUGUUGAUAAUCCUACUGAUAAGAAAACAGUGGAUUUAGCUAAUUGGGAACAUAAGAAUUAUAUGUGCAGGAAUUAUAUUCUGAAUUGUUUGACGUUAAAUCUAUAUGAUGUUUACUACUCGUGUAAAUCUGUAAAAAAGUUAUGGAAUUCAUUAGAAAUAUAUUACAGAAGAUGCUGGAACCAAGAAAUUUGUUGUGAAAAAGUUUUUAGAUUUUAAAAUGAAUUAUGUUAAAACUGUGGUAAGUCAAGUUGAAGAAUUGCAGAUUAUAAUUCACGAAAUUAUUGCUGAAGGAUAUAAAAUUUGAGAGGGCUUUCAAGUGUCGCUAUAAUUGAAAAAUUGCCACCUUCUUGGCAAAGAGUAUAAAAAUAGUUUGAAGUAUAAGAGAAAAGAAAUGUUUUUAGAGGAUCUGAUUAUUAGAAUUAGAAUUGAGGAGGACAAUAGAAUGGCAGAACGUAAAGAAAGGCCAGACUUUGAUACCAAGGCUAAUCUUACUGAAGGAAGUUCUGGAAGUAAGAAACCAGUUGGAAAUUUUAUAAGGGCUCAGAAUUUUAAAGGCAGAAACAAGGGAAAAUAAUUUGAAGGAAAGAACAAUCGGUCUAAGCCACAGUUUAAGAAUAAAAUUUGUGGUGACUAUUUUGUUUGUAGUAAACCAGGUCACCUUGCAAAGGAUUGCAGAAAUAGGAAAGGAAAAGCUGUGAAGCAUCAGGCACAUGUGGUAGAGGAUGGGAAUUUCUCUGCUAUGGUGACAGAAGUGAAUCUAGUAAGCAACAUGACAGACUGGUGGGUAGAUUCUGGAGCUACCAAGCAUAUUUGCUGCACGAGAGGUGCAUUUUCUUCAUUCACUCCCGCUAGUGAUGGAGAAUGUCUGUUCAUGGGCAAUGCUUCCUCCUCCAAAAUCGAGGGGAAAGGAACUGUAACGCUUAGAUUUACUUCUGGAAAUAUCCUUAAUUUGAAGGAUGUCCUUUAUGUACCUGAUAUUAGGAAAAAUCUAGUAUCUGGAUCUAUCUUAGUAAAAAAGGGUUUUAAGAUUGUAUUUGAAAGUGGUCAAGUUGUACUGUCUAAGGGUGGUUCCUUUGUUAGGAAAGGGUAUGCAGAUGAUAGUCUGUUUAAACUCAAUGUCUCUGUGAUUAACAAUAAAGCAUCUAGCUCUUCCGUUUACUUGUUGGAUUCUUAUGAUUUG